CCUGCAGUCUCCAUUUUAUGGUUCUGACGCAGAAAAUAAGCAGGAGGCUGAGCAGACCCCCCCAAGCUGCCUGGAAGCAGGAUGGAGCUCAGGUUUCAGCCCUUGUCCGGGUUCCCCAGCCGAGAGGGACUUUCCUGUUUUCAUUGUUCGGGACGCUGAGAUCUGUCCUUGUUCUUUCUUUCCUUCCUGCCCGUGCGUGUCUGGGGGGGGGAGGCUGUUGCCCCUGCUCUGUCACCAACAACUCCUGGCAACAGCACCUUUCCCAGCUGUGUGGAGAGUCCCAGGAGAGCUGCCAGCCUGUGGUAUUGAGCAACUCUUGUCAUCAUCGCUGUUUGGAGGAACUUUUUCUGUGUUAUUCAUCACUGCAUCCUUCAUGUUGUGCAGUGCUGUGGCGUGAGCAGGCGUUUCCCAAUCCAGAAUAUGAAGCAAGCCAGUGAUCCAAACUGCUGGAGGCUUCUUCCACUUCACUGAACCAACCAAAAAAAAAUGCUGGGGGCUCAGAGCUAGACUGAGGGAUCUGUGGUGCCUUCCUGGUCUCUGCAUCUCUGCAGGCUCUUGCUCUGCACAGCACAUCUCUCCCUCCUGUGAGAGGUCUGUGAACUUCCGUAGGGCUCCUGGGAUUGUCUGUGGGUUUUCCAGGCUAAGGAGUGCAGUUCAAGGGCUUUGGAGGGGGGAUUUUUGUGGCAUCUCAAACCUGAGAACCAAACUGCAGGGCCCUCACCCUUACAGAUGCACUUGGGGCUCAGAGGACUCUCUCUGGAAGGGAUGCUGACUCUGCCCUUGCUGAUUCAUUCAGCCCUUGCUGAUGAACCUUCUGGAAGCAUCUCCUGCUCCCAGAGUGGCCUGAGUAUGAUCCUGUGUGUGGGCUCCAUCUCCUUGUCUCAAAGCAGGUCCCAACGUGUGGGUGUCCUCAGGGGGAUGGCUCUAGCCUGGAGACUCUGGAGCAGAGAUGCACAGAACUAGAGAAUUCAUCUCUCUGCAAGUGUCUGCUGAGAACUCGAGGACAAGCUUAAACAGGACAAAAGGACAGAUUUUUAAUGUGCAGUGGAAUAUUCUGAACUUCCCAGCUGACACAGAUAAGAUAAGAGUGACAAAUCUGUGGGGGAAAAUUGACA
Long non-coding RNA from Pipra filicauda (Wire-tailed manakin), 1115 nucleotides. RefSeq lists it as uncharacterized. The record is from RefSeq and is a predicted model, not a curated record. The transcript has 5 exons. Lineage: Eukaryota; Metazoa; Chordata; Aves; Passeriformes; Pipridae.